RNAcentral lists this small RNA (127 nucleotides) under Marmota monax (woodchuck). Lineage: Eukaryota; Metazoa; Chordata; Mammalia; Rodentia; Sciuridae. The record is from RNAcentral.
GCUGGGCACAGUGGCGCAUGCCUGUAAUUCCAGCGGUUUUGGAGGCUGAAGCAGGAGGAUCGCGAGUUCAAACCCAACGUCAGCAAAACAGUGAGGCACUAAGCAACUCAGUGAGAACCUGUCUCUA